This 253-nucleotide ribosomal RNA is filed under the name uncultured bacterium. RNAcentral's name for it is "partial 16S ribosomal RNA". It matches the Rfam family "Bacterial small subunit ribosomal RNA", at positions 524 to 776 of the family's 1533-position model. The record is from RNAcentral.
UACGAAGGGUGCAAGCGUUACUCGGAAUUACUGGGCGUAAAGCGUGCGUAGGUGGUUUGUUAAGUCUGAUGUGAAAGCCCUGGGCUCAACCUGGGAACUGCAUUGGAUACUGGCUUACUAGAGUGCGGUAGAGGGGUGUGGAAUUCCCGGUGUAGCAGUGAAAUGCGUAGAUAUCGGGAGGAACACCAGUGGCGAAGGCGGCUGCCUGGGCCAGUUCUGACGCUGAGGCGCGAAAGCGUGGGGAGCAAACAGG